GAUGAACGCUGGCGGCGUGCCUAAUACAUGCAAGUCGAACGCUUCACUUCGGUGAAGAGUGGCGAACGGGUGAGUAAUACAUAAGUAACCUGGCAUCUACAGGGGGAUAACUGAUGGAAACGUCAGCUAAGACCGCAUAGGUGUAGAGAUCGCAUGAACUCUAUAUGAAAAGUGCUACGGGACUGGUAGAUGAUGGACUUAUGGCGCAUUAGCUUGUUGGUAGGGUAACGGCCUACCAAGGCGACGAUGCGUAGCCGACCUGAGAGGGUGACCGGCCACACUGGGACUGAGACACGGCCCAGACUCCUACGGGAGGCAGCAGUAGGGAAUUUUCGGCAAUGGGGGAAACCCUGACCGAGCAACGCCGCGUGAAGGAAGAAGUAAUUCGUUAUGUAAACUUCUGUCAUAGAGGAAGAACGGUGGAUAUAGGGAAUGAUAUCCAAGUGACGGUACUCU
RNAcentral lists this ribosomal RNA (456 nucleotides) under uncultured bacterium. Its description in RNAcentral is "bacterial SSU rRNA". It matches the Rfam family "Bacterial small subunit ribosomal RNA", at positions 28 to 481 of the family's 1533-position model. The record is from RNAcentral.